CCCUGGCUCAAGGAGCCAUGAAUUGUGGUGAAGUCAACCAAAUUGGCACCCUGCAUUCCUUACUUGAAGGGUCCAGGCGGUGGUACUGUUCCUUCAGCAUGCUGCAGUGGGAUCAAAGCCCUCAACGCCGAAGCCCAAACAACACCAGACCGCCAAGCAGCUUGCAACUGCCUCAAAAGUGCGGCUAACAGCAUAAGAGGCAUCGACUUAAACCUUGCAAGUGGACUCCCAGCCAAGUGCGGUGUCAGCAUCCCUUACCAGAUCAGCCCCAGCACCGACUGCAAAAGCGUCACGUGAAAGUUUGGCCAUGGAAGUUCGUCAGCUAAUGAAAGCUACAUAAUAAAAAUGGAUGUUAAGAAUCCAUA
Molecule: long non-coding RNA, 365 nt
Organism: Hibiscus syriacus
Lineage: Eukaryota; Viridiplantae; Streptophyta; Magnoliopsida; Malvales; Malvaceae
Exons: 2
Source: RefSeq, a predicted model, not a curated record